Molecule: ribosomal RNA, 808 nt
Filed under: uncultured bacterium
Lineage: Bacteria
Description: bacterial SSU rRNA
Rfam family: Bacterial small subunit ribosomal RNA
Source: RNAcentral
GUAAGCGCGCGCAGGCGGCUAUUUAAGUUGGAUGUGAAAGCCUAGGAAGCCGUAGAACUGCAUCCAAAACUAUUUAGCUAGAGUGUGGGAGAGGAAGAUGGAAUUAGUUGUGUAGGGGUAAAAUCCGUAGAGAUAACUAGGAAUACCAAAAGCGAAGGCAAUCUUCUGGAACACUACUGACGCUGAGGCGCGAAAGCGUGGGGAGCAAACAGGAUUAGAUACCCUGGUAGUCCACGCAGUAAACGAUGAAUGUUAGUCGUCGGGUAGCUAGUCUAUUCGGUGAUGCAGCUAACGCAUUAAACAUUCCGCCUGGGGAGUACGGUCGCAAGAUUAAAACUCAAAGGAAUAGACGGGGACCCGCACAAGUGGUGGAGCAUGUGGUUUAAUUCGAAGAUACGCGAAGAACCUUACCUAGCCUUGACAUAUAUUAGAACUCCGCAGAGAUGCAGAGGUGCCUUCGGGAGCUUUUAUACAGGUGCUGCACGGCUGUCGUCAGCUCGUGUCGUGAGAUGUUGGGUUAAGUCCCGCAACGAGCGCAACCCUCGUCACUAGUUACUAACGGUUCGGCCGAGGACUCUAGUGAGACUGCCUUCGUAAGGAGGAGGAAGGUGAGGACGACGUCAAGUCAUCAUGGCCCUUACGGCUAGGGCAACACACGUGCUACAAUGGUUGGGACAAUGAGACGCAAUACCGCGAGGUGGAGCAAAUCUAUAGACCCAAUCUCAGUUCGGAUUGUUCUCUGCAACUCGAGAACAUGAAGCUGGAAUCACUAGUAAUCGUAGAUCAGCCAUGCUACGGUGAAUACGUU